This 433-nucleotide ribosomal RNA is filed under the name uncultured bacterium. Its description in RNAcentral is "partial 16S ribosomal RNA". It matches the Rfam family "Bacterial small subunit ribosomal RNA", at positions 29 to 507 of the family's 1533-position model. The record is from RNAcentral.
AACGAACGCUGGCGGCAUGCCUUACACAUGCAAGUCGAACGAGACCUUCGGGUCUAGUGGCGCACGGGUGCGUAACGCGUGGGAACCUGCCCUUAGGUUCGGAAUAACUCCCCGAAAGGGGUGCUAAUACCGGAUAAUGUCUUCGGACCAAAGAUUUAUCGCCUUUGGAUGGGCCCGCGUUGGAUUAGCUAGUUGGUAGGGUAAAAGCCUACCAAGGCGACGAUCCAUAGCUGGUCUGAGAGGAUGAUCAGCCACACUGGGACUGAGACACGGCCCAGACUCCUACGGGAAGCAGCAGUGGGGAAUAUUGGACAAUGGGCGAAAGCCUGAUCCAGCAAUGCCGCGUGAGUGAUGAAGGCCUUAGGGUUGUAAAGCUCUUUUACCCGGGAUGAUAAUGACAGUACCGGGAGAAUAAGCUCCGGCUAACUCCGUG